GCACGUAGUUAGCCGGUGCUUCUUCUCAGGUACCGUCACUAUACUGCUUCUUCUCAACUAAAAGAGGUUUACAACCCGAAGGCCCUCAUCCCUCACGCGGCGUUACUGCAUCAGGCUUGCKCCUAUUGURCAMUAUWCNCCASUGYUGCCUCCGGUAGG
This 159-nucleotide ribosomal RNA is filed under the name uncultured bacterium. RNAcentral's name for it is "partial 16S ribosomal RNA". The record is from RNAcentral.